Molecule: non-coding RNA, 284 nt
Organism: Poecilia reticulata (guppy)
Lineage: Eukaryota; Metazoa; Chordata; Actinopteri; Cyprinodontiformes; Poeciliidae
Source: RefSeq, a predicted model, not a curated record
AGAGUUAGCUACACCUGGAACGUUUUUACUGACUGCUGUUCUCUCACCACUCUCAUUGUGACCGGCAACGUGCUGCGGACAUUCCUCUCCCGCUAUGUGGAAUUGGUGUAGCUUAAUGAGGUAUGGCGAAACGGUGUCUGUGUGGCAUAAAAGGCAACAGGACCUGUCGGCAAGAGAAUUAAUCAGAGAAACACUCAAGAGAGCUACCACGGUGGUGGCAGCAUCAUGCCGUGUGGAUUAUUUUUUUGAUAUUUUUUUAAACAAGGAAGCAGGUGGCAGUUGAU